This 74-nucleotide transfer RNA is filed under the name Loxodonta africana (African savanna elephant). It matches the Rfam family "tRNA". Rfam says of the family: Transfer RNA (tRNA) molecules are approximately 80 nucleotides in length. Their secondary structure includes four short double-helical elements and three loops (D, anti-codon, and T loops). Lineage: Eukaryota; Metazoa; Chordata; Mammalia; Proboscidea; Elephantidae. The record is from Rfam by way of RNAcentral.
ACCUGGGUGGUGCAAACGGUUAAUACACUUGGCUGCUAACUGAAAGGUUGGUGGUUCGAGUCCACCCAGAGGUG